GACGAACGCUGGCGGCGUGCUUAACACAUGCAGGUCGAACGGAAAGGCCCUGCUUUUGUGGGGUGCUCGAGUGGCGAACGGGUGAGUAACACGUGAGUAACCUGCCCUUGACUUUGGGAUAACUUCAGGAAACUGGGGCUAAUACCGGAUAGGAGCUCCUGCUGCAUGGUGGGGGUUGGAAAGUUUCGGCGGUUGGGGAUGGACUCGCGGCUUAUCAGCUUGUUGGUGGGGUAGUGGCUUACCAAGGCUUUGACGGGUAGCCGGCCUGAGAGGGUGACCGGCCACAUUGGGAAUGAGAUACGGCCCAGACUCCUACGGGAGGCAGCAGUGGGGAAUAUUGCACAAUGGGCGGAAGCCUGAUGCAGCAACGCCGCGUGCGGGAUGACGGCCUUCGGGUUGUAAACCGCUUUCGCCUGUGACGAAGCGUGAGUGACGGUAAUGGGUAAAGAAGCACCGGCUAACUACGUG
This 468-nucleotide ribosomal RNA is filed under the name uncultured bacterium. RNAcentral's name for it is "partial 16S ribosomal RNA". It matches the Rfam family "Bacterial small subunit ribosomal RNA", at positions 28 to 507 of the family's 1533-position model. The record is from RNAcentral.